This 29-nucleotide non-coding RNA is filed under the name Rattus norvegicus (Norway rat). Lineage: Eukaryota; Metazoa; Chordata; Mammalia; Rodentia; Muridae. The record is from RNAcentral.
UGAUGAAUUCUCAUGCUGUCCUGUUCCCA